RNAcentral lists this ribosomal RNA (311 nucleotides) under uncultured bacterium. RNAcentral's name for it is "bacterial SSU rRNA". It matches the Rfam family "Bacterial small subunit ribosomal RNA", at positions 30 to 334 of the family's 1533-position model. The record is from RNAcentral.
AUUGAACGCUGGCGGCAUGCCUUACACAUGCAAGUCGAACGAGCGAGAGAGAGCUUGCUUUCUCGAGCGAGUGGCGAACGGGUGAGUAACGCGUGAGGAACCUGCCUCAAAGAGGGGGACAACAGUUGGAAACGACUGCUAAUACCGCAUAAGCCCACAGCUCGGCAUCGAGCAGAGGGAAAAGGAGUGAUCCGCUUUGAGAUGGCCUCGCGUCCGAUUAGCUGGUUGGUGAGGUAACGGCCCACCAAGGCGACGAUCGGUAGCCGGACUGAGAGGUUGAACGGCCACAUUGGGACUGAGACACGGCCCAG